Molecule: RNA transcript, 1152 nt
Organism: Papaver somniferum (opium poppy)
Lineage: Eukaryota; Viridiplantae; Streptophyta; Magnoliopsida; Ranunculales; Papaveraceae
Exons: 3
Source: RefSeq, a predicted model, not a curated record
UUAUCUCAACUCUCUUUGCAUCCUCUCUCUAAUAUAAUCCUCCUUUUGAUUUCUAAUCGAAAGAAAUGAGAUCUAUGAAAUCUAUCAAGCGAAAGAAUUGAUGUUAAACUUAACCCUGUUGCAGAGACACAUCAAAUGAAAUCUAUCAUAGAUCCGUUGAUGGUGAAGGUUUUUUUUUGCCAAAGUGAAUGUAGAGAUUCAUCGAUGGUUAAGGACGAAAGGCAAGUAGAGAUUCACGGAGGACGAAGUGCUAGUAUUAGUCGAAGUGAUGAAACCAAAGGAGGUUUGAGGUUUUCUGUUGUUGUAAGUAUUGUUUUGAAGAACUGAAAUUAUUGGUUCAUUUGUUUUUUAAAAACCCUAAAUCUUUGAACUCUCGGUCCAUCAAUAUGUGCACUGUGGGCAUAAAAUUCUGCUCAAAAUUUUCACCAAUUCGACCCCGCAGUUCAGCAAUCAUACUAAUCUUCUUCCCUUUCCCAAGAUCAUCAACCCCAAUCUCAUACGGCCCAGAAAACCCCCAAAAUCUUUUGUUGCUGCUGCUUUGGAAGAAGUCUUCAAUCCAAUUGCCCUAGAUUCAAAACAACCCAACUGUUAUUGCGAAGAAGUCUGUAAUUAUGACCACUACCGUUAACAUCAAUUCCAUUUGUCUAUACGGAUCCAUGAAGUCUCCAUCUCGAUUUUGUGAAGAGUUGAUUCCCAAAAUAGGAAGGAGUUUAAGGAUGUACAUGAGAGAACACCUCUGCGUAAGCUAAGUCUCAUUUACUGUUGGUCAUUUGAUUAGUUUUGAUGGGUUAAUUAGUGUUACUAACUUAUUCCGGUUAGUAUUUUUGAUUUUGUAGAUGAUAAAAUGAAGAUUGAGGUAGAGCCUUCUGAAUCAGUUGCUGAAUUUUGCGGGGGAUUCCUUGUUAAAUCUUGCAUAUCUUCACUGUGUUAAGAGGAAGGCUUAUUGGUUUUUGACUAAAAGUGCAUCUCUUUGGAAGGACCAUCUGUUCGUGCUGACCAAGCAGCAUUGUACCAUCAGAUUGUUAUCAUCCCUAUGUUUGUUUUUUCUUUUUUCUUUUUUAUAGGCAUAAUGUGAUCUCUUAUGUAUAUCUUUGUUGUAAUCGAAAUAAUAAAUGUAUUAUUAAUUAUAAAUAAUAAAUUACUUUGGAAUUA